AGGUUUUGUGAAAUAGGAAGUGAUUGCAAUCGAUGGAGUUUUUUGAGAAACCGGAAGCCUCGACUUUCCAGCAGGCAGACAACGGAAGCAUCUACGUCUGCCGCAGCACACGUCAGUUAAGGUUAGCAUUGGAUUGGAUGGAUGUACCGCCACGGAUGAUGCUAUUGGUGAGCGGGAAAAUAAAUUACGGAGGUCGCCGGAAGUGGAAUUCAGAGACAUCUAAUUUCCCGAAUAUUAGCUACCCUCUGCUUGAUCGUUGCCCGACUGGUGAGAAGAAAAUGGAAAUUAAUAAAUAUUCCAAACUGAAAACUUUUUUGCACCAGAAACGAUCAACUUUACUGGAGGCACCAGCACCAGGCUCGGACGCAUGUGUCGUGAUAUUUGAAAGGAUUCCUAAUACUUCCGUUGGAAAAACAUACCUGUUUGAUUCACCAGCAGGAGAUGUGAACAAACACAGAUAUGUGUCGUGAUGCUGGCAGAGCAAAUAAAGCGCGAGGAAGUGUGAAAGUUUUAACCAUGAUUUACCGAGUAAGGAUCAUUCAAAGAUCUCUCCUAGGACAAGAACAACUAAGUCUACUGAGGAAAUUGCCGUUUCUUCUGUCCUGUUUGUCCAGUAAAAAAUUUGCUUCUGGUGCAUUAAAUUUCUUUCAAGUCUUCCGAUAAGUUCCGAUGAACGGUCAAAUUUUUUAUUUAUCGUCUGUGU
Long non-coding RNA from Uranotaenia lowii, 703 nucleotides. RefSeq lists it as uncharacterized. The transcript has 3 exons. NCBI's taxonomy places the organism in Eukaryota, Metazoa, Arthropoda, Insecta, Diptera, Culicidae. The record is from RefSeq and is a predicted model, not a curated record.